UGGCGGUCUUUUUCGGCGCAAGUUUUAAAUUCAUCUUGAGUGUCUUUACAUCGCAAGAUUAACGUUAUUCUGAAUCUUAAUUAGAAGAUAUGAAACGAAAGCAGACUCAAAGUACACAAAGUUUGAGUGUUUUCGGAUGCCUGCCCCUAAAGCUACAGCAGCUUCGGGUGACACUUCAGCUGCAGCAGAUGACACGAUCGUUACAGAUACUCCAGAAAGUGAGGCUGAUGCUAUCGUAAAGUUACCUGAUGUACCUGUAGAUAGACAACUUCUGACUGAGGAACUCCAAGUAGUGGUCGCUGCAGCCCGGAGAACGGCAGGUGGGAGGAGUUAACAAAACAAACUGCAAGUGGGAGGAGCUUAGGCCGCAUGUAAUAAGGAUUUUCACACGCUGAUGGCAGGAGCAACCACAAUUUCUCUAAACCACUGCGAUCACUGCAGUUGCAUCACUGCUGUUCUGACAUUUUGUGCUACAAUCAUAUUGUGCUGCCCAUUCGUGUGAGUUAGGUUUAGGGUUCGGGGAAGGGGUUAGUCUUGUAUUUUUAUAAAAAAACAAAAUCACAAAAUAUUUCAAGCCACAAACUAUUGCCACUUGUAAAAUAAUACCAUUUAUGUGUAUCUCCUUGUCUCAUCCCUGGAUUCACGGGGACUCCUGAGGCCACAGACCAGCUCCAACCCAGCCUGAUGUAUUAAAUGUUCUUCCAUGCACCGUAGAGAGGAGUGGAUCCCGCUGGCUGGCUCCUUUUCAGACUGGUGCACAUCCCUGCACUGACAAGGACUGAUGAUGCCAAACGACCCUGCCUCAUGUUUGUUUUUGUCUCUGCUAUAUACUUGUUUGACCUGUUAACUAAAUUUGUGUGAAGCUGCUUUGUAAUAAUGCACUGGUUGAAUUGAAAUUAAAACUAUAACAAUGACUGAAACAAUAAAGCACACAA
Triplophysa dalaica is the source of this 935-nucleotide long non-coding RNA. RefSeq lists it as uncharacterized. NCBI's taxonomy places the organism in Eukaryota, Metazoa, Chordata, Actinopteri, Cypriniformes, Nemacheilidae. The record is from RefSeq and is a predicted model, not a curated record. The transcript is spliced from 3 exons.